Molecule: ribosomal RNA, 506 nt
Filed under: uncultured bacterium
Lineage: Bacteria
Description: partial 16S ribosomal RNA
Rfam family: Bacterial small subunit ribosomal RNA
Source: RNAcentral
AUUGAACGCUGGCGGCAGGCCUAACACAUGCAAGUCGGGCGGUAGCACAGGAGAGCUUGCUCUCCGGGUGACGAGCGGCGGACGGGUGAGUAAUGUCUGGGAAUCUGCCUGAUGGAGGGGGAUAACUACUGGAAACGGUAGCUAAUACCGCAUAACGUCGAAAGACCAAAGAGGGGGACCUUCGGGCCUCUUGCCAUCGGAUGUGCCCAGAUGGGAUUAGCUAGUAGGUUAGGUAAAGGCUCACCUAGGCGACGAUCCCUAGCUGGUCUGAGAGGAUGACCAGCCACACUGGAACUGAGACACGGUCCAGACUCCUACGGGAGGCAGCAGUGGGGAAUAUUGCACAAUGGGCGCAAGCCUGAUGCAGCCAUGCCGCGUGUAUGAAGAAGGCCUUCGGGUUGUAAAGUACUUUCAGCGGGGAGGAAGGUGUUGUGGUUAAUAACCGCAGCAAUUGACGUUACCCGCGGAAGAAGCACCGGCUAACUCCGUGCCAGCCGCCGCGGUAA